Molecule: ribosomal RNA, 432 nt
Filed under: uncultured bacterium
Lineage: Bacteria
Description: bacterial SSU rRNA
Rfam family: Bacterial small subunit ribosomal RNA
Source: RNAcentral
CGCUGGCGGUGUGCUUCACACAUGCAAGUCGAACGAGGUAGCAAUACCUAGUGGCGGACGGGUGAGUAACGCGUGGGAAUCUGCCUUUAGAUGGGGGAUAACGGGUCGAAAGACUCGCUAAUACCGCAUAUGACGAAAGUUGAAAGGAGUAAUCCGUCUAAAGAUGAGCCCGCGUCCGAUUAGCUAGUUGGUAGAGUAAAAGCCUACCAAGGCGACGAUCGGUAGCUGGUCUGAGAGGAUGAUCAGCCACAAUGGGACUGAGACACGGCCCAUACUCCUACGGGAGGCAGCAGUGGGGAAUUUUACGCAAUGGGCGAAAGCCUGACGUAGCGACACCGCGUGAGCGAAGAAGCCCCUUUGGGGUGUAAAGCUCUGUCAGCUGGAACGAAAAAAAUGACGGUACCAGCAGAGGAAGCAUCGGCUAACUACGUG